GGAAUGUUGAUCCGCCUAACAUGCAAGAGCAAUCGUUUUGAGUCCUGAGACCCUGGGAUGACCACCGUGAACAAAUACAGAAGCACUCAAUUUGAGUCCUGAGACCCUGGGGUGACCACCGUGAACAAAUACAGACUGCAAAAAGGCAGUCUUGAUGGUACUAGGAUGAAUGCAAAUAAAGACUAACCACCUGACUUCAGCGGUCCAGUCUCUUGUGGGAAGCAGGUGCUUGUUACCCCAAAUACGGAUGAAGUGUGACGAAGAGGAUGAU
Paramisgurnus dabryanus is the source of this 271-nucleotide non-coding RNA. Lineage: Eukaryota; Metazoa; Chordata; Actinopteri; Cypriniformes; Cobitidae. The record is from RefSeq and is a predicted model, not a curated record.